This 440-nucleotide ribosomal RNA is filed under the name uncultured bacterium. RNAcentral's name for it is "partial 16S ribosomal RNA". It matches the Rfam family "Bacterial small subunit ribosomal RNA", at positions 338 to 795 of the family's 1533-position model. The record is from RNAcentral.
CCUACGGGAGGCAGCAGUGGGGAAUAUUGCACAAUGGGGGAAACCCUGAUGCAGCGACGCCGCGUGAGUGAAGAAGUAUUUCUGUAUGUAAAGCUCUAUCAGCAGGGAAGAAGAUGACGGUACCUGACCAAGACGCCCCGGCUAACUACGUGCCAGCAGCCGCGGUAAUACGUAGGGGGCAAGCGUUAUCCGGAUUUACUGGGUGUAAAGGGGGCGCAGACGGCAAUGCAAGCCAGGAGUGAAAGCCCGGGGCCCAACCCCGGGACUGCUCGUGGAACUGCAUGGCUGGAGUACAGGAGGGGCAGGCGGAAUGCCUAGUGUAGCGGUGAAAUGCGUAGAUAUUAGGAGGAACACCGGUGGCGAAGGCGGCCUGCUGGACUGUGACUGACGUUGAGGCCCGAAGGCGUGGGGAGCAAACAGGAUUAGAUACCCUGGUAGUC